UCCUCAUCUAAUGCAUCUCUUCUUCUUCUAUCAACGAUCAUCUGUCCUCAUCUAAUGCAUCUCUUCUUCUUCUAUCAACGAUCAUCUGUCCUCAUCUAAUGCAUCUCUUCUUCUUCUAUCAACGAUCAUCUGUCCUCAUCUAAUGCAUCUCUUCUUCUUCUAUCAACAAUCAUCUGUCUUCAUCUAAUGCAUCUCUUCUUCUUCUAUCAACGAUCAUCUGUCCUCAUCUAAUGCAUCUCUUCUUCUUCUAUCAACGAUCAUCUGUCCUCAUCUAAUGCAUCUCUUCUUCUAUCAACAAUCAUCUGUCCUCAUCUAAUGCAUCUCUUCUUCUAUCAACGAUCAUCUGUCUUCAUCUAAUGCAUCUCUUCUUCUUCCAUCAACAAUCAUCUGUCUUCAUCUAAUGCAUCUCUUCUUCUUCUAUCAACAAUCAUCUGUCCUCAUCUAAUGCAUCUCUUCUUCUUCUAUCAACGAUCAUCUGUCUUCAUCUAAUGCAUCUCUUCUUCUUCUAUCAACAAUCAUCUGUCCUCAUCUAAUGCAUCUCUUCUUCUUCUAUCAACGAUCAUCUGUCCUCAUCGAAUGCAUCUCUUCUUCUUCCAUCAGGAGGAGGCAUGACGAGAGAGAAAUAUUUGAGGAGCACGCAGACUGCCAAACUCUCCUACGGUGUUCUCAUCAUCAAGAGCAGCAUCUAUGGAGCCUGUGUAGCGUUUCUGGUGUGGAAGCUGCAGAGAUCAGCUGGGAAGCAGAACCACUGAGAGCUGAGAGCUGAACAAACCACUUUAUGUUGGUGUCUGUAAAUAGGAUUUGUAGAGCAUCGUGGAUUUAUUUCUUCAGCGUGUGUCACGGCAUAUUUGCAUUCACAUAAAUGAGAAACUCAAAUUCUGCCAACAUUAGAGGAACAUUAUUCUUUUUACAAUAUUAAAGCUAUAACUGGCAUGGAAGUAAGUUUGGUAUAAAUCCUUUGACAAACACUUGGUUGUGAACUAUUUGAUGAUUUGAGUUUUCUUUAAAAUAAAAAGUAUGUCAGUGUAUUUUGUCUGUCAUGUUUUCAUUUUAGUUUCUGCUGA
Molecule: long non-coding RNA, 1064 nt
Filed under: Cottoperca gobio
Lineage: Eukaryota; Metazoa; Chordata; Actinopteri; Perciformes; Bovichtidae
Description: lncRNA (ENSCGOG00000012177.1)
Source: RNAcentral